AUUGAACGCUGGCGGCAGGCCUAACACAUGCAAGUCGAACGGUAACAGGAAGCAGCUUGCUGCUUUGCUGACGAGUGGCGGACGGGUGAGUAAUGUCUGGGAAACUGCCCGAUGGAGGGGGAUAACUACUGGAAACGGUAGCUAAUACCGCAUAACGUCGCAAGACCAAAGAGGGGGACCUUAGGGCCUCUUGCCAUCGGAUGUGCCCAGAUGGGAUUAGCUAGUAGGUGGGGUAACGGCUCACCUAGGCGACGAUCCCUAGCUGGUCUGAGAGGAUGACCAGCCACACUGGAACUGAGACACGGUCCAGACUCCUACGGGAGGCAGCAGUGGGGAAUAUUGCACAAUGGGCGCAAGCCUGAUGCAGCCAUGCCGCGUGUAUGAAGAAGGCCUUCGGGUUGUAAAGUACUUUCAGCGGGGAGGAAGGGGGUAAAGUUAAUACCUUUGCUCAUUGACGUUACCCGCAGAAGAAGCACCGGCUAACUCCGUG
This 490-nucleotide ribosomal RNA is filed under the name uncultured bacterium. Its description in RNAcentral is "partial 16S ribosomal RNA". It matches the Rfam family "Bacterial small subunit ribosomal RNA", at positions 30 to 507 of the family's 1533-position model. The record is from RNAcentral.